UCUCCGUUGGUGAACCAGCGGGGGGAUCUUUAGAGAGUUAUCUAACUCCCAAACCCAUGUGAAUUUACAAUUUGUUGCCUCGGCAGAGCCUACCCGGUAACUGUUCGGAGAAGCUACCCUGUAGCUACCCUGUAACGGCCUACCCUGUAACGCACUGCCGGUGGACUUUUAAACUCUUGUUAUUUUAUAGUAAUCUGAGCGUCUUAUUUUAAUAAGUCAAAACUUUCAACAACGGAUCUCUUGGUUCUGGCAUCGAUGAAGAACGCAGC
This 269-nucleotide unclassified non-coding RNA is filed under the name uncultured fungus. RNAcentral describes it as "sequence contains ITS1, 5.8S rRNA gene". The stretch from base 221 to 269 matches the Rfam family "5.8S ribosomal RNA", at positions 1 to 49 of the family's 154-position model. Lineage: Eukaryota; Fungi. The record is from RNAcentral.